RNAcentral lists this ribosomal RNA (1279 nucleotides) under metagenome. RNAcentral's name for it is "bacterial LSU rRNA". It matches the Rfam family "Bacterial large subunit ribosomal RNA", at positions 1603 to 2912 of the family's 2925-position model. The record is from RNAcentral.
GGGUUCCAGGAAAUAGCCCCACCGCAUAGACCGUACCCGAAACCGACACAGGUGGUCAGGUAGAGUAUACCAAGGCGUUUGAGAGAAGUAUCCUGAAGGAACUCGGCAAAUUGCCUCCGUACCUUCGGAAGAAGGAGGCCCUCACUAUGCGCAAGCAUUUUGAGGGGGCACAGGCCAGGGGGUAGCGACUGUUUAGCAAAAACACAGGACUCUGCUAAGUCGGCUUCAAGACGACGUAUAGGGUCUGACGCCUGCCCGGUGCCGGAAGGUUAAGAGGAGGAGUGCAAGCUCCGAAUUGAAGCCCCGGUAAACGGCGGCCGUAACAAUAACGGUCCUAAGGUAGCGAAAUUCCUUGUCGGGUAAGUUCCGACCUGCACGAAUGGCGUAACGACUUCCCCACUGUCUCCAGGAUAUGCUCAGCGAAAUUGAAUUCUCCGUGAAGAUGCGGAGUACCCGCGGUUAGACGGAAAGACCCCGUGCACCUUUACUGCAGCUUCAGAGUGGCAUUAGGAAAUAACUGUGUAGCAUAGGUGGGAGGCUUUGAAGCAUCGGCGCCAGCUGAUGUGGAGCCAUAGGUGAAAUACCACCCUGUUGUUUUCUGAUGUCUAACCUCGUACCGUUAUCCGGUACAGGGACCCUCUGUGGCGGGUAGUUUGACUGGGGCGGUCGCCUCCUAAAGAGUAACGGAGGCGCGCGAUGGUAGGCUCAGGCCGGUUGGAAACCGGCUGUUAGAGUGCAAUGGCAUAAGCCUGCCUGACUGCGAGACUGACGAGUCGAGCAGAGACGAAAGUCGGUCAUAGUGAUCCGGUGGUCCCUCGUGGAAGGGCCAUCGCUCAACGGAUAAAAGGUACGCCGGGGAUAACAGGCUGAUGAUUCCCAAGAGCUCAUAUCGACGGAAUCGUUUGGCACCUCGAUGUCGGCUCAUCACAUCCUGGGGCUGAGCAGGUCCCAAGGGUUUGGCCGUUCGCCAAUUAAAGUGGUACGUGAGCUGGGUUCAGAACGUCGCGAGACAGUUUGGUCCCUAUCUGCCGUGGGCGUCGAUACUUGAGAGGAGUUGCCCCUAGUGCGAGAGGACCGGGGUGAACAUGCCUCUGGUGUACCUGUCGUGGCGCCAGCCGCGCAGCAGGGUAGCUAUGCAUGGACGGGAUAACCGCUGAAAGCAUCUAAGCGGGAAGCCUCCCUCGAGAUAAGGUAUCAUAGAGUCGUGGUAGACCACCACGUUGAUAGGCCGGGUGUAGAAGUGCGGUAACGUAUGGAGCUAACCGGUCCUAAUAACUCC